CUUAAUUCACGGCCAAGAAAAAAUAAUCACAUAUUUACAAAAAAAGAAAACCAAUAAAUAUCAACACUAAUAUUUUUCCUAUCCUAUUUUUCCAACACACAAAAAAUAAAAAACAAUCUUCGUCUUCCUCCUCUCCUCUCCUCACCACAACAAUGGCGUCUCUCCUCGCGAACGGCAUCUCCAGCUUCUCACCCCAACCCACCCCCGAUUCCUCCAAAUCCCCCAAAUCCUUCCACCCUAAACCCGACUCCUUCAAAUUCCCCUCCUCCUCGUCAAAAACCCUAAUUCCAACUCCGCGCCUCGUCAAAGCCAGAGCCGACGUCGGCACAAUCGAAUCCAAUCCAGCAGGUAACUCCUCCUCCUCCUCAACCGAUAAACUCCAACAGUACUUCCAAAACCUAGACUACGACAAAAAAUACGGAUUCGUGGAAGACAUCGACUCCUUCACAAUCCCCAAAGGCUUAUCCGAGGAAACCAUCCGCUCAAUCUCAACCCUCAAGGAAGAACCCGAUUGGAUGCUCGACUUCAGGUUCAAAGCCUACGCCAAGUUCCUCACCCUCAAGGAGCCUCAAUGGUCUGACAAUCGCUACCCUCCCAUCGACUUCAACAACAUGUGCUACUACUCCGCCCCCAAAAAGAAACCCACUCUCAACUCCUUAGACGAAGCCGACCCUCAGCUCCUCGAGUAUUUCGACAAGCUCGGCGUCCCCUUAACGGAACAGAAACGGUUAGCUAACGUCGCCGUUGACGCCGUUCUCGACAGCGUCUCCAUCGCCACCACUCAUAGGAAGACUCUAGAGAAGUCCGGCGUCAUCUUCUGCUCCAUCUCCGAGGCGAUCAGAGAGUAUCCUGAUCUGAUCAAGAAGUAUCUAGGGAGAGUCGUGCCGAUUGACGAUAACUACUACGCCGCUUUGAACUCAGCUGUGUUCAGCGACGGCUCGUUUUGCUAUAUCCCCAAGAACACGAGGUGUCCUAUGCCGAUUUCGACUUACUUCCGGAUCAACGCUAUGGAGACUGGUCAGUUCGAGAGGACGCUGAUUGUAGCGGAGGAAGGGAGCUUUGUGGAGUAUCUGGAAGGGUGUACUGCUCCUUCUUACGAUACCAAUCAGCUUCACGCUGCCGUUGUUGAGCUUUACUGUGGUGAAGGGGCUGAAAUUAAGUACUCCACCGUGCAGAACUGGUACGCUGGGGAUGAAGAAGGGAAAGGAGGGAUUUAUAAUUUCGUCACGAAGCGUGGUCUUUGCGCUGGGGACAGGUCCAAGAUCUCGUGGACUCAGGUGGAGACGGGGUCUGCCAUCACUUGGAAGUACCCGAGCGUGGUUCUGGAAGGUGAUGAUUCCGUGGGGGAGUUUUACUCUGUGGCGUUGACUAAUAACUACCAGCAGGCUGAUACGGGGACGAAGAUGAUUCACAAAGGGAAGAACACCAAGAGUAGGAUCAUUUCGAAGGGUAUCUCGGCUGGCAACUCGAGGAACUGUUACCGUGGUCUUGUUCAGGUUCAGUCCAAAGCUGAGAAUGCUAAGAACACUUCGGUUUGCGACUCUAUGCUUAUUGGUGAUAAAGCAGCUGCUAAUACUUAUCCUUACAUCCAGGUAUACAUUGUUUAUAUGAAUAUGAUCUAGUCUUUGUUAUAAGCUAUGUGAUAAAGUCUGAACUCUUGUGUUGUGGGUUUGGAACAAUUGACAGGUUAAGAAUCCAUCAGCGAAAGUUGAGCAUGAAGCGAGUACAUCAAAGAUUGGAGAAGAUCAGCUUUUCUAUUUCCAGCAGAGAGGAAUUGAUCAUGAGAGAGCGUUAGCUGCGAUGAUCUCAGGGUUCUGCAGAGAUGUCUUCAACAAGCUGCCUGAUGAGUUUGGAGCUGAAGUCAACCAGCUUAUGAGUAUUAAGCUUGAAGGAUCAGUGGGUUAGAAAACAUAACUCAAUUACAGAGCAGUUACGUUACAAAACAGUCUUUGUUGUGCUUCUCAAUAAAACUUUUCUUCUGGGUGUUUUACUAGUUUCAGUAUGUAAAACUUUGUAUUAUGUAAUGUUUUGAUAGCUUCAUGUGAACCAUAUGAAAGGUAUUGUUAAUAUUGUUACACUUGCUAAAAACAUGAAAACAAUAAUGUUCACAGAAGUGAUAUUGUAAUAAACUUUUGACGCACAAACUCAUUUUAUUCAAUUUGUGGGAUAUUUUUCUGACAAGUAUAAUCUUAAAAGCAGAGAAUUUUAGUGAUAAGAGAUUGCAUUUAUUCUAUAGAUUUUCCUUUGGUAUAUCUGGAACAAGCUUGGCUAUGAACACAUCAAAAGCCUAUUCACUGGCAAACAUCAGAAAUGUUCCUGCAAUUAUAUUGUUUUCCCUAAUUAGGAAUUGGAGCAAGAAAUUAAAGGAAUAAGCGAAGAGAGAGUACAUGCACUUAUAGAGGAAGAUGAAGAUGAUGCAUACAAAAGUUCUACGAGUUCAGGAUCUUAGGAACGAGUAUCCAUAUACUUUGGCCAAAUCCAAGCCAUCAAUCAACUCACUAUGGCCAUAUCAACAAACACUUAUUAAACUUGAUACAGCUAGCUUGAGGUCUGAUUCUUGAUUUAUUUUCUCUGUGUUUGUUAUAGCAAUGUUCUUGAUUUGCUGAAGCGGAACGAGGUUAGAUUGUCCAAGAAAGAUAUCCAUGUGGAGUAUCAUUUCGACGAGGUUGGAUUCUGUUUCUCUCCUUGGGUGUCUGGAAAAUGUGUUCAUGUAGUCAUCUAAGAUAACGUGGAGUCCCUCUAGUUAUGUGCAACGUUCACAUUCCAUGUUCUUGAAUAAUGUUCAAGCUGGAGACUGUAGCUAGUUACCUUCUCUUUUACUGUACUUUGUCUUCAGUGGUUUUCUGUUUUGGAUCAGGUAUUUUGGGCAAUCGCAGAGACAGAGCCAACCGACGUGAAGCUGGGGAUGGAUUUGUUAAGAUACAUAAAAGAGGAGCUUGGGUUUGUUCCUUCAAGAAAAAGUCUGGAUUUUCUCUUACAUGCUUGUGUUAAUGCCAAGGACAUGAAAAACGGUUUAUUGGUGUGGAAAGAGUACCAAUCUGCAGCACUUCCAUGCAACGUCCUUAGCUUUCUUAGGCAAGCCUCUCUUGUCCUCCUUUUAGCAAAUAUGCACGUCUAGAUUCGUAGUAAGAAGGAACAAACCAAAAGAUUAGAUCCAUUAGCACAAAAGAGUUCUGAAUUUAGCAAAGUGUUCAAAAUAAUGCAAUUGAUUAGAUCCUUUGUUCAUUGGUUAUGGUUUAUGGGUUUGGCAGGAUGUAUCAGGUUCUACUGGCUGCAGGGGAUUUGGAAGGUGCCAAGACAUUGGCAACAAAAAUUCCAAAAGAAGACAAAGAUGUACAGCAUGUCAUUGAAGAAAGCCAGAUUGUAUAUUCUCAGACACCAGAAAAGAAGAAAUCGAACAAGAAAAGGAUUGUCUUCCCAGGAAAAUAGGAAAGUAGUAUUGGCUGGUUUCAACACCCCUUGGUGUGAUUUUGUACAGAAGAGGGACUCAUACUCCAUUCUAAAGCACACAAGAUUGGUAGGCUCUGCACAAGUCUUGACAGUUGAAAAGAAAACGGAGUAAUAAUAUAGUUAUUUGUUUUGUUGUUGUUAGCUAAGGAACAUUCUUAUAAUUGCUUGCAACAACUUUUUGAUGAACCAAAUCACAACUUCUUGUACUUCUGAAUCUAAAACAUAAUUGUCGCCGAACCAAACCAUAUAGUUUCUGAAUCAGUUUGAAACACAAGAUUAAUCCUUUCACUCGGGUUUCUUCAUGUUCAGGCAAUUAUCUGCUGCUUGUCCAAAUAGCUCUUGGACUUGCUUUAGCUCUUUCUCUGUGAAGAAACAAGGUUAACACACUUUAGACCAGCUCAAUGUACGAAGCAUUUUGCAAAACAAAUUGGAGGAAAAUGAAAAAUGGAAAACUGAAACCACUGAAGAGAAUCUCCCUGCAAUGGUAAAUAACAACUUAAUCCUAGAGUGUUGUAGCAAGAAAGCAUACACAUUGAACAUGGAUCUGCUCCAUUUGAAGAGCAAAGUUGUCCAGAAAAAGUUUUUACCUGCAGCCUCUAAUUGCUUUUGGAGUUCUUGGCCAAUAAGAUCGUUCUCCACCUGAAAAAAAACACAGUAGAGAAGGAAACAGGCAAAGCCGGCCCCGUUAGUCUAAUAUAAAUACAUGAUUGUGGAAACAAGAUAAGUAACCUGUUUAACCUGGAGUUCUGCGAUUCUUUUGAGCUGAGCUUCUUCACCUCCUUCAGAUAAGGGAAGCGCCGCAACCAAAGCAUCAAACUUCACACAAAACAAGUACAAAAGUCAAGACCCAAGAAAUAGCAGAAUCAGAAUAGAAAUCAGAUCAGUAUCAAAUAGUUUCCGGCACCAAGACAUUAUCCAUCAUGCAGAUGACCUAAAUUCAUAUCAUAUUCGAAACUAAUGAGCUAAAGAUGACCAAGUUCCUCGAUUCUACACUGCUUUGUUGCUGCAUAUAUAGCAAAAAGGCCAUCUUGACUUUGCGAUUUAUCUAUAUAUCCUUAGUACAGAAGAACUCCAUAUAAACUUAGAAGGAUACGGGUAAAAAAUUGAAGAGAGAAAAAAACAAACCUGUUUAGCAGCCUUGACUAAAUCGGCACUGAGCUGCUUAGGUUGCUCAGGAAAAGCUGCGGUAGCAUCACCAUCAGUAGCCGUAGUUGUAGUUGUUGUAGUAGCAGCAGCGGCAGCGGCUGGUGGUUCAGGGUAGUUAGGAGAAAGCUGAACCGGAGGUGCAUCUCUUUGGAGUGUCCCAAAAGCAUUGAAAGUGAUUGCAGCUAUGGAGUUCACUUGUUCUUGCAACUGUGAUAUUAUAUCCAUCUUCUUCUAAAACCUUAAAGCAUGCAUGAACAUACAUACAUUCACACAAAGUAAGAUGUUACUUUCAGAUUGGUACUCAAUCUAUUAAUCAAGAUUCUAAAUUUCAAUCUUUACUUGCGUAUUGCGAAAUCCCAGUAGAAAAUUUGGAAAUUAAUCCAUUUAAGACAAUAACAUAAACAAAGUCCACAAACUAUUUGAGUUUCAGCUAAUCUCAAUAACCUUGUAGAAUUCAUUCAUCACAUUAGAGAGGAAGCGAUCUACUGAUUCUCCGACAAGGUUGACGGAGUAGAGGAUUCAAGGAAGAGACUUACCCGUCGACGGGAGUUUUCUCCGGCUAAGCAGAAGUCGACGACAGAAGAUCGCCGUGACUGGCCGGCCACUGGCGUUUUGAUAUUUUGUCUGGUUUAUUCUGCCUUCUGGAUUUUAUUACUUGACACGGGCUUUAACUGGGCCCUUUUGUCUUCAUAGUUACACAAUUCCUGUGUGUUUUAUGACAUUCAUUUGUGAUAUAAAUAAAUAAAAUGCUUUUGUUUCCAAGAUUUACAAUCAAAUAUUCCAUCUGUUUCGUAUUAAAUGCUGUUUUAGCUUUGAUUUUGUUUCAUUAUAACUGUCAUUUUAAUUUCCGAUGCAUAUUUUAAACAAGUUUUCCAAUUUUUAUUCUUAUUUUUAAUUCAUAAAUGAAUAAAACCAAACAAAAAAUUACAUUAAAUUAGGAUUUUUUAAGCAACCAUUAAAUUAGGAUAAAACAGAAAAUUUAAUAAUUUUUUCGAUUCAUAUGCAAAAACUUUAAAUGAUACUUAAAAUGAAAUGGAAAGAGUACGUUCGAAACGAGGAGUAAAAUAAUAUGAUGGCGGAUAAACUUACACAAAAUAUUUAUCUGAUUAAUCUUAUAAGAUUUUGCUAGAGGUGGGCACUUCGGUUAUUUUAUCGGUGAGUUCAGUUUAGUUUAGUUAAUUCGUUUCUAUAAUUUUUCCAACUGAAGUAAACCAUAAUUAGUUUGGUUUGGAUCGGUUUCGGUUCGGUUUAUGUUUCGAUUCGGUUUAAUCGGAUUCCCUUAAUUUAUUUUUUUUAGGAGACAUCAUAUUUUAAAACAUAUGGUCAUGAAAUCAUCAUAUUGGUGAAUAUGAAAAAAAAAUGUAAAACUACAUCUAAUUUAAAAUUUAAAAUAAAAACUUUAAAACACACAAAAAGUUUAUAAGAACAUAAUCAAAUCAAAAUUAACUAAAAUAAAUAGAAAAUUAAAAAACAUCAUUAAUAGUGCUUCUUAAAAAUAAACUAUGUAAAUUAAAUCUAAUAUAAAACUGAAAAAAAAUCUUUAAAAAUCACAAAAAAUUAUAAGAACACAAUCAAACUAAAGUUAACUAAAUUAAAUAGAAACCUAAAAACCCAACAUUGUUAAUAAAAUUAAUAGUGACUUUAGUGUUAGGGUUUUAGAAUUUUUUAUAUUGCUAGUAUGUUUUAAUUCAAAUAAUGACAAAAAACACACUGGCUUCUCGGUUCGGUUUAGCUCGGUUUGGUUCAGAUCGGUUUCGGUUUGGAUGUUUCGGGUUGGAAAAAUCUUAAACCAAACUAUUUGAUGAUAGACUAUGGUUCGGUUUGGAUCGGUUUCAGUUCGGUUGAUUCAAUUUUAUAGGUUCAGUUCGGUUUUUUUACCCGCCGAUAGAUUUUGAUUUUAAAAAAUUGAUUUUUUGGAGUUUUCUUUUUAUUUGUUUCCUACAUACUAUAUACAAAGUAAAAUAUAGUAUUUGAUUUUGCGAUUGUAUUUUUAUUGGUUAACCUAUAUUUUUCAAAUACUAAAUGAUUUUUAAUGUAAAGUAUAAAAUAAAAUAAUAUGUUAAAUAUACUUAUAAGCUUUUCUUUCUUCUUUUAAUUUCAUUUAUUAGUUUGUGAGGGAAAAAAGAAUGUGGCUCAUAAUCGAGCUAAAAAGGCCAAGUAACAAACGCUCCCCGUGGUGGACACGAGACUAUCCUUAAUUCACGGCCAAGAAAAAAUAAUCACAUAUUUACAAAAAAAGAAAACCAAUAAAUAUCAACACUAAUAUUUUUCCUAUCCUAUUUUUCCAACACACAAAAAAUAAAAAACAAUCUUCGUCUUCCUCCUCUCCUCUCCUCACCACAACAAUGGCGUCUCUCCUCGCGAACGGCAUCUCCAGCUUCUCACCCCAACCCACCCCCGAUUCCUCCAAAUCCCCCAAAUCCUUCCACCCUAAACCCGACUCCUUCAAAUUCCCCUCCUC
This 7057-nucleotide long non-coding RNA is filed under the name Brassica napus (rape). RNAcentral's name for it is "long non-coding RNA (BNAP_LNC007856)". The record is from RNAcentral. Lineage: Eukaryota; Viridiplantae; Streptophyta; Magnoliopsida; Brassicales; Brassicaceae.